AUUGAACGCUGGCGGCAUGCCUUACACAUGCAAGUCGAACGGCAGCACGGGGGCAACCCUGGUGGCGAGUGGCGGACGGGUGAGUAAUGCAUCGGAACGUGCCCUGAAGUGGGGGAUAACGCAGCGAAAGCUACGCUAAUACCGCAUAUUCUGUGAGCAGGAAAGCAGGGGAUCGCAAGACCUUGCGCUUUGGGAGCGGCCGAUGUCGGAUUAGCUAGUUGGUGGGGUAAAGGCCUACCAAGGCGACGAUCCGUAGCGGGUCUGAGAGGAUGAUCCGCCACACUGGGACUGAGACACGGCCCAGACUCCUACGGGAGCAGCAGUGGGGAAUUUUGGACAAUGGGCGAAAGCCUGAUCCAGCCAU
Molecule: ribosomal RNA, 364 nt
Filed under: uncultured bacterium
Lineage: Bacteria
Description: bacterial SSU rRNA
Rfam family: Bacterial small subunit ribosomal RNA
Source: RNAcentral